GACGAACGCUGGCGGCGUGCUUAACACAUGCAAGUCGAACGGAAAGGCCCUGCUUUUGUGGGGUGCUCGAGUGGCGAACGGGUGAGUAACACGUGAGUAACCUGCCCUUGACUUUGGGAUAACUUCAGGAAACUGGGGCUAAUACCGGAUAGGAGCUCCUGCUGCAUGGUGGGGGUUGGAAAGUUUCGGCGGUUGGGGAUGGACUCGCGGCUUAUCAGCUUGUUGGUGGGGUAGUGGCUUACCAAGGCUUUCACGGAUAGCCGGCCUGAGAGGGUGAACGGCCACAUUAGGACUGAGAGACGGCGCAGACUGCUACGGGAGGCAGCAGUGGAGAAUAUUGCACAAUGGGACGAAGCCUGAUGCAGCAACGCCGCGUGCGGGAUGACGGCCUUCGAGUUGUAAACCGCUUUCGCAUGUGACGAAGCGUGAGUGACGGUAAUGGGUAAAGAAGCAACGGCUAACUACGUG
This 468-nucleotide ribosomal RNA is filed under the name uncultured bacterium. RNAcentral describes it as "partial 16S ribosomal RNA". It matches the Rfam family "Bacterial small subunit ribosomal RNA", at positions 28 to 507 of the family's 1533-position model. The record is from RNAcentral.